GCUUGUCUCAAAGAUUAAGCCAUGCAUGUCUAAGUGUAAAUAAGUCUAUACUGUGAAACUGCGAAUGGCUCAUUAAAUCAGUUAUCGUUUAUUUGAUGAUCUCUUACUACUUGGAUAACCGUAGUAAUUCUAGAGCUAAUACAUGCACAAAAUCCCGACUUACGAAGGGAUGUAUUUAUUAGAUACAAACCAACAUCGUGGUGAUUCAUAAUAACCGAACGAAUCGCAUAGCUGCCGCUGGCGAUAGACCAUUCAAGUUUCUGACCUAUCAGCUAUCGUCGGUAGGGUAUUGGCCUACCGUGGCAAUGACGGGUAACGGAGAAUUAGGGUUCGAUUCCGGAGAGGGAGCCUGAGAAACGGCUACCACAUCCAAGGAAGGCAGCAGG
RNAcentral lists this ribosomal RNA (386 nucleotides) under uncultured Katablepharidophyta. Its description in RNAcentral is "partial small subunit ribosomal RNA". It matches the Rfam family "Eukaryotic small subunit ribosomal RNA", at positions 30 to 432 of the family's 1831-position model. The record is from RNAcentral. Lineage: Eukaryota; Cryptophyceae; Kathablepharidacea.